RNAcentral lists this ribosomal RNA (427 nucleotides) under uncultured bacterium. RNAcentral's name for it is "bacterial SSU rRNA". It matches the Rfam family "Bacterial small subunit ribosomal RNA", at positions 355 to 774 of the family's 1533-position model. The record is from RNAcentral.
UGGGGAAUUUUGGACAAUGGGCGAAAGCCUGAUCCAGCAAUGCCGCGUGUGUGAAGAAGGCCUUCGGGUUGUAAAGCACUUUUGUCCGGAAAGAAAUCCUCUGGGUUAAUACCUCGGGGGGAUGACGGUACCGGAAGAAUAAGCACCGGCUAACUCCGUGCCAGCAGCCGCGGUAAUACGUAGGGUGCAAGCGUUAAUCGGAAUUACUGGGCGUCAAGCGUGCGCAGGCGGUUUUGUAAGACGGAUGUGAAAUCCCCGGGCUUAACCUGGGAACUACAUUCGUUACUGCAAGGCUAGAGUAUGGCAGAGGGGGGUAGAAGUCCACGUGUAGCAGUGAAAUGCGUAGAGAUGUGGAGGAAUACCGAUGGCGAAGGCAGCCCCCUGGGCCAAUACUGACGCUCAUGCACGAAAGCGUGGGGAGCAAACA